CAGUCGCCGCGGUAAUACAGAGGGUGCGAGCGUUAAUCGGAUUUACUGGGCGUAAAGCGUGCGUAGGCGGCUAAUUGAGUCGGAUGUGAAAUCCCCGAGCUUAACUUGGGAAUUGCAUUCGAUACUGGUUAGCUAGAGUGUGGGAGAGGAUGGUAGAAUUCCAGGUGUAGCGGUGAAAUGCGUAGAGAUCUGGAGGAAUACCGAUGGCGAAGGCAGCCAUCUGGCCUAACACUGACGCUGAGGUACGAAAGCAUGGGGAGCAAACAGGAUUAGAUACCCCUGUAGUCCCUGUCUCUUAUAC
Molecule: ribosomal RNA, 301 nt
Filed under: uncultured bacterium
Lineage: Bacteria
Description: partial 16S ribosomal RNA
Rfam family: Bacterial small subunit ribosomal RNA
Source: RNAcentral